RNAcentral lists this long non-coding RNA (17490 nucleotides) under Triticum aestivum (bread wheat). RNAcentral describes it as "long non-coding RNA (TAES_LNC007412)". Lineage: Eukaryota; Viridiplantae; Streptophyta; Magnoliopsida; Poales; Poaceae. The record is from RNAcentral.
CAUCCUCCUCGCUCGCUCUCUUCCCUCCUCUGUCACCCGACCGCAAUCGUCGUGUCGUCGUCGUGCUCGUGGCCGAUAACCUCCCCGGUGCUCAGGAGGAAGUCGAGGAGCAUCGCCGUCCUCUUCUGCAUCGUCUGCAAGCGCCAGGUCGAGCCGGAGCAACUGGAGCCAUCGCCAUCAUCCUUCUUCCCCAACCACGGUCGUCGUCGUCCACCUCGUCGACCCGUUCGCCUUCGGCCGUCCUCGUGCGUCCCCAACCCCCUCGAGCUCGUCCACGACCUCCCCCUAGUGAGCUCUCCUCGGUUUUCCCACCCCCUCCUGUUUUCCUCUUCAAGUAGGACGCCGGAUCCCCUGCGACUGAGCUCGCGCUCGCGGCUCGCCAUGCCCGGUCCGAAUCCCAUGUGCCCCUGUCCGCUCCUUCCCGGGCCCGCCUUCGCCCUGGCCGCGGCCUGCGCGUGCACGCGCGCCUGCGUGCCUGCCCUCUGCUGUUGCUAGUCGCUAGCUGCCGCUCCUACUGCUGGUGUUGCUGCCCAUGCCGCUGAUGUGCUGCUCGUGCGUUGCUUUUGUUGUGGACGCCGCUGCAGCUCGUUGUUCCCUACGACCGCCGCUGCCUGCUGCUAUUUGCGUACAACCGCGUCGGCGCCCUGGCCGCUCCAUGUGCGCCCUGGCCUUGUGCCUAGCCUGCUCCCACCUCGGCCAGCCGGCACACCACCCUCGUCCUCUCCCUGCACCUCCUCUGACCGCGCUCGGCCAUGGCCAAGUCGAGCGUGUGUCGUCCCAGGCAUGGCCCAAGGCCACUUCACGUACGGGCCGGCCAUCUCUCGGGGCUAAUCCCCUUUUAGAAAUUAAACCCCCCAUGUGGUUGUUUCACUAAGGUAUGGGGUCCAACCCCACUAACUACCCCUUUUAAUUUAACCCACUAGACAAACAACUACAGAGUAUGAGACGUGGCCCCCUGUUAACUGUUACUAUUUAAUUAUCUGAAAAAUCACGAGUCAAUGACAGCCGGGACCCACCUGUAUUGUUCACUUUGACCGGUCAACGCUGCUUGGGCUGUUGACUUUGAUCGUGGCCCCACUGUCAGCCUCUAACACACACUACUGGGUAUAUUUUCGGGUGCACCUAGCUGUUAGUCCAUUUAAUUUUUCGAAUUAGUGUUAAAUCCAGAAUUUUAGAAAAUGUGUUAAACUUUGAAAAUUAAUAUAAAAUAAACCGUAGCUCGGAUCAAAAAAACUUUAUACAUGAAAGUUGCUCAGAAAAACAUGACGAAUCCGAAUACGCGGUCCGUUCAUCUAUCACAUGCCCCUAGCAUGCUGAACAUGGAACUUUCCCCCUCCGGUCAUCUGUCUAACACAGGUCCAGAACCGGGAAAAGAAUCCCGGUUGACUUCCCCCCGCACCGGUAUCGUGUAGCACCGUGUUAGAACACGUCUAGCUCUGCUUGUUGUCCUGUUAUGCUAUGUUUGCUUUAUAUUUACUAUUUCUUCCUCCUCUUCUCUCCGGUAGACCCCGAGACCGAUGCUGCCCCUGUGAUCGACUACGUCGACGACGACCCCUCCUUUCCAGAGCAACCAGGCAAGCCCCCCCUUUGAUCAUCCCGAUAUCGCCCAUUCCAUUCUCUCAUGCUUGCAUUAGAUUUUGCUACUAUUAUUGUUUGCUCCUAUUCUGAUGCAUAGCCUGUUUAUUGUAGCCUGUUGUUAUUAACUACUUGCUUAUCCUAAACUGUUUAGUAUAGGUUCAGUAGUGAUCCAUCAGUGACCCCCACCUUGUCCUUGUUGCCCCUGCUUCAUCAUCGAAGACCCGAUCAACAGGAUCGAAGACCAGGCCCCUUCAUCGCACAUCACUUUCCCCUUAGUUGCUCGACACUACUGGGUUACUAUCGAGUGCCGAGGGUGAGACCUCUACAGCACUUCUAGUGUUAACCCUGUAGUGUAGCUAUUCGGUCGUGGUCAUCGAGGGUGAUUCCGCCUUAACCACUUCCGAUACGACUCUGUCGUGCAACCCCUCAAGUGUGAAUCUCGGGGGUGAUUCCUCUUACGUUCACCUUGAUGAGUAUAUUGAGUGGAAUUCACCGAGGGUGAUUCCUCGGGUUUUCCCCUUGAUGUUUGGACACACGGGUACUUAUACUUUACAACUGUUACUUGGAAAGGCGGGUCGACCCUGAGGGGUACCCGCGAGUGAUGUGGAGACGAGUUGACCUGGAGGGUACCCGAGAGUUGAAUAUGAGGCGUGGUCGGGCAUUCUUAGCCCUUGCCGCAAGUCCUCGAGACGGGGCGACGGGGUCACAUCUUUCGUGAGUCUCUGCUCGUGACCGCACUACCAACACACUAACGGUUUGGAUAUUUGAUCCGAGGGGCCUCUGGCCUGAUAGCACUAACCAUCACGUGGGCAUAGUAUGGGCGUUUUGCGUCGUAUACAUCAGCCGAAGCUUAAUAGAUGUCAGUGACUGAGCGGCGCGCGCCGGGUUGGACUGGUAAGCUCCUGCCUUUUUAGGGAGGUAGCUAGGUCUGCUCACCGGCCGCAUUCGCAACGUGCAGGAGUUCCCGGGGAGAUGGCCCAUGACCCCUGGGGGCAUAGGUUUAGUCCGGUGUGCUGACCUCUUUAUUAAGCCUAAGUCGGGUUGCGGCGUAUUGUUUGGACGAGGCCGGACAUGACCCAGGAAAGUGUGUCCGGCUGGAGUUAAUCGAGCGUGGUGGGUAAGUUGGUGCACCCCUGCAGGGAAGAAAACAUCUAUCGAUAGCCUGUCCUACGGUAACGGACACUUGGAGUUGUAUCCUGAUCGAUACAACUAGAACUGGAUACUUGUGAUGAGAAUUGGUUUGUGAUGACAAUUGGAUAGUAUGGCUCUGGGAUUUCUUUCUCGUAGGGAGUCGAGAAAGGAUCUCUAGCCGAGGUUGAUAACACUACUACUACUUUACUUUAUGCUACUCUACUCCCUCCUGUUUGCUACAAGAUGGUGAUUUCCAGAAGAUGGUACUCUUCGAUAGGACCAGGCCUUCUCUCUAUUCUGGCAUUUCUGCAACCCAGUCCACAUAUACAACCUUCCUUUGAUAAUGUUGCAUAUGUAGUGUAGAUCCUUGCUUGCGAGUACUUUGGAUGAGUACUCACGGUUGCUUUGCUUCCCCUUUUCCCCUUUCUCCUUCUUUCCGGUUGAUGCAACCAGAUGUCGGAGCCCAGGAGCCAGAUGCCACCACCGAUGCCUACUACUACGCUGUCACGCCCAAUAUGCGACCCUAUCCAAAAGGAACUCGAAGGUCCCACCAAGGAUAGACCCGCAUAUUGAAACGCUUUUGCAAGGUGGAUAUCAUUACAUCAACAUUACAUAAUAGAUGGGGAUACAUACAAGAGGCAUACAAUGCCACACGAAUACAACAUCACAAUACAUAAGAGCAUCAUCCGACUACGGAUGAAACACAAACAGAAACUCAAAUGACAUCCACCCUGCUAGCCCAGGCUGCAGACCUGGAACCUAUCCCCUGAUCGAAGAAGAAGCAGAAGAAGAACUCCAACACAAGCAAACAUCGCUCUCGCGUCAUGAUCAUCGCAAAACCUAUACCUGCAACUGUUGUUGUAGUAAUCUGUGAGCCACGAGGACUCAUCAAUCCCAUUACCAUGGGUAUCAAGACUAGCAAAGCUUAAUAGGAAAGGAAGGGGUAAAGUGGUGAGGCUACAGCAUCGACUAAGCAUAUAUGGUGGCAAACAUACAUACGCAAAUAAGAGUGAGAAGAGAGCAAGCGAAACGGUCGUGAAACUAGCAAUGAUCAAGAAGUGAUCCUGAACUCCUACUUAUGUCAAACAUAACCCAGAAACCGUGUUCACUUCCCGGACUCCGCCGAAAAGAGACCAUCACGGCUACACACACGGUUGAUGCAUUUUAAUUCGUAUCUGGUGUCAAGUUAUCUACAAUCGAACAUUAACAAAUUCCCAUCUGCCUAUAACCGCAGGCACGGCUUUUGAAAGUUUAAACCCUGCAGGGGUGUCCCAACUUAGCCCAUGAUAAGCUCUCACGAUCAAUGAAGGAUAUACCUUCUCCCAGGAAGACCCGAUCAGUCUCGGAAUCCCGGUUUACAAGACAUUUCGACAAUGGUAAAACAAGUCCAGCAAGACCGCCCGAUGCGCCGACAAUCCCGAUAGGAGCUGCACAUAUCUUGUUCUCAGGGCAACACCGGAUGAACACUACGUACAACUAAAAGCAACCCUCAAGUUUCCCCGAGGUGGCGAUGCAAGUGGCUCUGGUUCGGACCAACACUUAGACAAGCACUGGCACGGGGGGGCUAAAAUAAAGAUGACCCUCGGGUUGGCCGACCCAAGGGAAGGGUAUAGGUGGUGGUGAGGCAAAUGGUAAAACCAAGGUUGGGCCUUGCUGGAGGAGUUUUAUUCAAAGCGAACUGUAGAGGGGGUCCCAUAAAUCACCCAACCGCGUAAGGAACGCAAAAUCCGGGAACAUAACACCGGUAUGACAGAAACUAGGGCGGCAAGAGUGGAACAAAACACCAGGCAUAAGGCCGAGCCUUCCACCCUUUACCAAGUAUAUAGAUGCAUUAAUUAGAUAAGAGAUAUUAUGAUAUCCCAACCAAAAUCCUGUCCACCAUGGAGCAAUCUUCAACUUCACCUGCAACUAGCAACGCUAUAAGAGGGGCUGAGCAAGGCGGUAACAUAGCCAAGCAACGGUUUGCUAGGAAGGGUGUCAAAGGUUAGAGGUUCAUGGCAAUUUGGGAUGGCUUGAUAAACAGGUGAUAGGUAGCGCAGCAUAGCGAUAGAACGAGGCAACUAGCAUAGCAAUGAUAGUAGUGAGAUCCAGGGUAGCGGUCAUCUUGCCUGAAAUCCCGCUAGGAAGAAGAACGAGUCCAUGAAGAAGAUGAAGGGAUGAAGCCAAACCAAGCGUAGAUGAACGAAUCCUCACGAUCGUAACGAAACAGGAACUAUCGAAAAGAAGCACACAACAUAGUAAACACACCACACAUGAACAAGGCAUGAUGCACAAACAAGUAUGAUGCAAGACAAGACUACAUGAAGCUACCCAUGGCAAGAGAUGAUGCAAACAAGAGCAACACACUAAGGCAAGUUUAAAUGAGGCCGGGAACAACAUAUAACAAUUCCGGUAAGUCCUCAUAGGCAACUUUCGAAAUUGGUCCAGAUCUGAAUAAAACUUAUGUUCAAGUUGUUAAACAGCAAGUUAAGAUGCACCAAGAUGAUCUACACGAGAUUCUAGUCAAGUUAGAUAUAAAGUUCAUUAGAUUUGGAGCUACGGCCUAGAAGAUAUGAGCAAAACAAGUUAAACAUGGCAUUGAUGCAAAAUGCAUUCAAACAUCAAGAAAAGACACCAAAACAAGGAUGCCACAUGAUAAUAUGAAACUAUAUGCUAAAUCAAGCAAGUUUCAUAUAGAGCACACUCAAAACGGAGCAACGGUUCAACACAUACACUUCAAACAUGAUAUAACAACCUGUCCAAAACAGCAACUAGGCAUAUUGCAAGCAUCAAAACAACAUGCUACAGUACCACAAUAUGAAAACAAAAGGCAUGGGCAUGAUGUAUAGGUAAAGCAUAACAAAACAUGAACACUGAGCUAUCUCCAGAAAUCACUAGAACAAGCUUAAACACACAUGGCAAGAUUCCAAAUGAUAAGAGUUCUGACUUUGCAGAAAUUAACAUCAGAUUGCAAUGUUUAGAGCUAUCAAACAACAUGUUACAGGAACUUAUCAUGGCAAACAAAGGCAUGGCAUGAAUCUACUAAUUGCAUAGAACAAGAGUCCCUUACUCACCAUGAGCCAAAAGAAUCAGAAAAUAUGAUGGCACCCACGUAAACAUGGCAAGUUAUAUUACAGAUUCAUACAUGGCAGGAACAGAAUUAUGAAGGCAUGUUGGUGAGCUUGUACCACUCACUACAGAGCAAUACAUUACAUGGCAAGGCAACCAACAGUCAGAAUACAUGUUUGUGAAGCUAAGAAUGGCAAAAGCAAGUUCAUAGGGUGCAUGGAACACUAGCAACAAUCAUGGCAACAACUGAACUUAAUGUUAACAGGCUGACAGCAACAUUAUGAAGCAACUUUGGGGCAAGAUUACAACAAGCUACAGCAGGCUAUAAAUGCAACCAGGGGCAUGAAUGGAUAGACAAUAACCAUAUGUUCAAAACAUCCUUACUGAAGUAUCUCAAAAUAAGCAUGGAUCUCUCUGUAGCAUCAUGUUUACAUGGCAUCAAAAUAACAGCAGAACAGGGACUAAAAUCAGUAACAUCACGAUGCCUACUUUGCAUGCUUGUGCUAGUCACCACAUUGAUCACAAAAAUACAUGGUAAACACCUCUGUAAAGAAGACAUGGCAUAGAUCAAAACACAUGUAGACAUCAACCUCAUAGGAUGCACACAUCAGACAUGGCAAAAAUGACAAAUGAACAUGUUCUGUUAACAGACAGCAGACAACAUCAUGAAGCACUCUUGCAACAAUGAUUCAGGCAUUAAGAUGACCUCAAAUGAACAUGAUGCAAUGGAAUGAAAUGAAGUACUCGUUGAGACGAACAAUUUGACAUAUUACACGCACAAAACGGAGCUACGGAUGCAGAGAUAUGAUGCGAUGAACGUGGCAUGAUAAUGUCACAGAUUCGGGGACUUAGGGAUUUUCGGGGGUCAACCUUAGGUCUUCUCUGGAUCUGGAUCCGGGCGGCACGGAUCCCGAGGAUCACCGGAGGACGCUCGCCGGAGCUGUGGGAGGAGGAGGAGGAGAUGGCCGGAGAGGAAGAAGGGGCCAGAGUUGGCCGGAUCUGGGGGCACCAUGAUAGCGUCGGGAUGAUGAAGAUGGCCACCGAUGAUAGGUUCCCCCUCCGGCAGGGUGCCGGAACAGGGUCCCGAUUGGUUUUUCGUGGCUCUGGAGGCUUGCAGCGGCGGAACUCCAGAUCUAGGUUCUGUUCUGGAAGUUUUAGGGUACGUAGGUAUAUAUGGGUGCAAGGGGUACGUCGGUGGACCUCCGGGGUGCUCACGAGGUAGGGGGCGCGCCCAGGGGGUAGGGCGCGCCCCCCACCCUCGUGGGCAGCCCGGGACUCCCCUAACGUGCACUCCAAGUCUAUCAGGUUGCUUUCCUUCCAAAAAUAACUUCUCCAGUUGAUUUCGUUCCGUUUUGACUCCAUCUGAUAUUCCUUUUCCUCGAAACACUGAAAUAGGCAUAAAACAGCAAAUCUGGGCUGGGCCUCCGGUUAAUAGGUUAGUCCCAAAAAUAAUAUAAAAGUGGAUAAUAAAGCCAAAUAUUGCCUAAAACAGUAGAUAAAGUAGCAUGGAGCAAUCAAAAAUUAUAGAUAUGUUGGAGACGUAUCAGCUUCCUCGACGCAUACUCCGGAUACCAUCAAAUCAAGAUGGCGGAGUCCGACCAAGCCGCAAUGGCUUUCAUUAUUGCAUAUGGCCCCUUCUAUUUUAACACCAUGCCUUUCGGGCUCAAAAACACCGGCACAACCUAUCAACGCAUGAUUCAAACAUGCCUGGAAAAACAAAUCGGCAAGACAGUAGAGGCCUAUGUAGACGACGUGGUCAUCAAAACAAGACACGUUGAAACUUUAAUAGACGACUUGAGGCUUACAUUUGACAACCUCCGAACAUACGAAAUCAAGCUCAACCUGGAGAAGUGUGUCUUCGGGGUACCCUCUGGGAAACUGCUCGGCUUCAUCGUUUCCAAUAGAGGAAAUGAAGCAAAUCCGGCAAAAAUCCGAGCUCUGUCACAGUUGGCUAUCCCAACAGACCUCAAGCAGAUCCAGAAACUAACUGGAUGCGUAGCUUCCUUAAGCCGCUUUAUCUCCCGCUUAGGAGAAAAGGCACUACCUCUUUAUCGCCUUCUUCAAUGCACCGAACACUUCGAGUGGACGGAUGCGGCCACGGCCUGCUGGAAGAAAUAAAGGCACUAUUGGCCACAAACCCAGUCCUGACCGCGCCAAACAUUGGCGAACCCAUGCUAUUAUACAUAGCCGCAACAAACCAAGUUGUGAGUGCGGUGAUUGUCGUCGAACGAGAGGCAGACGGACAGAAGUUCCCGCUCCAAAAGCCGGUAUAUUACGUGUCCACUGUCCUCACUCCAUGCAAAUCUCGAUACCCACACUAUCAAAAGAUAGCAUACGCGGUCUUCAUGGCAUCCCGGAAACUACAACACUACUUUCAAGAGUGUUCGAUCACGGUGGCCUCCGAAGUACCACUCAAUGACAUAAUAAAUAACCGCGACGCAACAGGCCGAAUUGCUAAAUGGGUAUGAGCUCCUUCCGUUCGACAUAACAUACAAACCACGGCGGGACAUUAAGUCGCAAGUACUAGCUGACUUCGUCGCCGAAUGGACAGAAGCCGAACUCCCUAAAGAGUACGACGCGUACUCAAAUUGGAUCAUGCAUUUUGACGGCUCUAAAAUGCUGGCCGGAUUGGGAGCGGGUGUUGUCCUAACAUCCCCCAUCGGAGACACGGUUCAGUACGUCCUCCAAAUAUUAUACACAGACUCCAACAAUGCAGCCGAAUACGAGGCUCUGUUGCAUGGUCUUCGGAUGGCAGUCUACAUGGGCAUCCAACGCCUCGAAGUGCGCGGGGACUCGAACCUCGCAAUAUCUCAGGUAAAUAGAGACUUUGAUGCCAAGGACCCGAAAAUGGCGGCCUAUCACAAUGUCGUCCUCAAAAUGUCAGCUCGGUUCGAGGGGCUCGAAUUCCACCAUGUGGUUAGAGAAAAUAACAAGCGGCCGAUAUCCUCGCCCGCAUCGAUGCUAAACGUGACCCCGUCCCACCUAAUAUCUUCUUAGAAAGGUUGUUCAAGCCGUCCGUGGCAUGGGAAGGGGAGUCCGGCACUAUUAGUCCGGCUCCAAACACAACCCCAGAUUCUGAACCUUGUGACAUAAUCGGAGGCUCUGCCACCAAAAUAACACCUUCGGCCCAUGAAAUAAUGGCGGUCAUCGCCCCGUGGACCGAGCCCUUCUUGGCCUACGGAAAUAGGCAAGAGCUCCCCGAGGAUCAAAAUGAGGCACGUUGUAUUGUGCGACGCUCUAAGGCCUACAAAGUCCAUGAAGGAGAACUCUACAAGAAGAGCGCCACCAGAGUGCUCCAACGAUGCAUCUCCGAAGAGGAAGGGCGACAGCUCUUAGCCGAAAUCCAUUCCGGACUAGGCGGGCACCACGCGGCAGCCCGAGCUCUCGUAAGCAAGGCCUUUCAGACAGGAUUUUACUAGCCGACAACCCGGGCGGACGCACAGGACCUUGUCCAACAUUGCGUUGGUUGUCAACUAUUUGCCAAUCAGAGCCAUAUGCCCCCUACCGCUCUCCAAACAAUCCCCAUAACUUGGCCCUUCACGGUCUGGGGGCUGGAUAUGGUGGGACCCCUUAAAAAGGGAAGCCAUAAGAAAAAAUACUUAUUGGUCAUGGUGGACAAGUUCACCAAAUGGAUAGAAGCCAACCCAGUUAAAACGGCCGAAUCCGGACCAGUGAUAGACUUCAUAUCGGAGGUCGUACAUCGUUACGGUGUCCCCCACAGUAUCAUCACUAACAAUGGCUUGAAUUUUAUAGCCGAGGAGAUGAAAACCUGGUGCGGCAAAAUGGGCAUCAAGCUCGACUACGCCUCUGUCUAUCACCCCCAAACAAACAGUCAAGUUGAACGUGCAAAUGGUCUUAUCAUGAGCGGCAUUAAACCCAAACUAGUGCGAUCCUUGAAGGAAUCAGACACGCAUUUGGUCGAGGAACUCGACUCCGUACUCUGGGGGCUGCGGACCACGCUGAAUCGUACCACCGGAUACACCCCAUUUUUUAUGGUGUACGACGCAGAAGCAGUGCUGCCCUGCGAUAUAAUCCAUGACUCUCCUCGUGUGCGCAUGUAUGAAGAGAAGGAAGCCGAUCUAGAUCGGUAGGACAACUUAGAUGCUUUGGAGGAGGAGCAUGAUGUCACUAAAGCCCGUUCCGCAUUCUAUCAGCAACAGGCUCGAAGGUAUCAAAGCAGAGAAGUACGGGCCAAAACUUAUAACAUUGGCGAACUCGUUCUGCGUCUCCCCAAGAAGAAGAAGGACAAGCUCAAGCCCAAGUGGGAGGGUCCCUUCAUCAUUGAUAAAGUUCUCACCGAAGGAGCAUACCGUGUGCGCAAUGCAUCUGAUAACAGACUCGAGCCAAACCCAUGGAACGCGGCCAGACUCCGGAGAUUCUACGCCUAGCGCCGAACUUAGUGUUCGUCUCCUUACCUCUGGCGCUUCAAUUAUGUUCUCUUUCUUCCUUUCUCGCCCUUUUUUCCUUUUUAACAUACAACCUUAAAACUGUGCGGAUGCCCUGAGCACUCCGGCCGCAUUAUGCGCGCACACUAUACCUGGGGGCUUCCUAUUCGGAAGCUAAAUACAACUACUUUAAUGGCUCCUUGCCAGCCACAUAUGCAUUUUUCUUUCCAUAUGUGCCUUUUCUUCACCAUUAUAUGCAUCGAUAUGACUUCAGUUUUGGCCAUGCUGGGUUGCCUGGCUCUUGUAUUUAUGCCCUACAUUCCCGUUAAUUCGGCUAGGGCAUAAGGGGGGCACCUCUGCGAUUCUUACUGCCGGUUGAGCCGGAUGUGUACCUCAGACUGGGUGAAGCCGAAGGCUAGAAUUCUUAAGGGAAUAUUUGGUCGAUGAACAAAAGAUCUUCUCAUUCAUUACAACGAAAAUACCCAGAUGUUUUGUUUCCUCUGCUUCUGUUCGCAGUUCGGACAUGCACAUCGAUGCAUGCGCACCUAGAGAAAGGAACCCCUAACGGAACUAUUCUCUCUAGAAGAUGUUUCUUACUAUCCAUGUAAUAUAACAUAACUAGUUGGGUACUUAUCUGUUCAAGCACUUAUGACCCCUACGCCUGGUUUCCAUGCAUACCCCGGUUUUUCAUAACUGUGUGGGUAUUCAGAUACACCCCGGACCAUCGGAUCCGGGGGCUGAAGCAAAAAGGUCCGCCAUGACAAAUGAUUUUUCAUCCGGCUAGGAAGUACAUGAGCCCAUUCAAAUUACAUAGUCAUUUAGACUGGCCAAACUCUUCCUCGAUACCAUCCAACAGGCUGUCUAGCUUACAAUCCUGUUGAGAAUACUUUGCAGCUAACGCUACUUGGUCAUAUACCAGACUAACAGGUAUCUCUUGUCCAUCUGACCCCACCAGUCCGACUUCGGCCAUAUGGUUCGGGUCAGCCUUGGCGUAUCGCGUCUUCACCAUGGCCCAAGCUUCUCUCGCACCUUGCCGGCAAGCUAAUAUCUUCCAUAAUCGGAAGCAUCGUCGUGCUCCUUUAAGCAUCUCGACAAGUUCGCUCAUACCUCCUGGCAGGGAAGCGGAUGGCCACAAGGCCUGGGCAAUUCCCUGCAUCACCUGUCGAGCUCGUUCGUGCAGUUGUGAAAGCUCUUGCAGCACAUCGCCUGCGGAACCGGGCAUCUCCUCUUCAGGACGGCCCAUCAACAUACCUGCAGACAUAACUCUGUCAAUACGCUUCCUCGCCGAACUAUACUACAGUUCGUUCAAGCACUUACUAUAAAUGCCACGUCGAAGCCUCCGGUUCUCCUUCACGGAGUCCGCGAGCUGAGCCUGAACAUCUUUCAAUUUGACGCUCAGUUGGAUAUUAGCAUCUUGCAGCUUAUUCUUCUCCUGAAUAGACUGCAUCAGAACGCGUUCGCCCGUCUUCAGCUGACUUCGCAGAUGCAGCUCAUUAUCCCCCACAGUCUUCGGAUUUCCUCCGGGAUCGUCUGCCGAAUCUUUAAUCAGAUUUAUAAACCAUGUCGAACAAACAAACUGGUAGAAGGAAAUGUUUACCAGAAGAAGCCUUUUUGGAUUCCUCUUGUUCGGCUACAUUGGCCUUCAUUUGGGCCUUACGUUCCUCCAGCUCUUGAGACAACUGGGCAUUCUUCUCUACAAGAACCUAUGCAUUUCAUGAUCCUUAAAUCAGUUGUGCCAUUUGUUUCAAGUCUCAGGGGCUACUACUACACAUACUUAUUAAAUUCUCUUACCUGUAUAUCCUUCACAUACUGGUCUGUUGCUCUGGCAAGUCCAUCUUGAGCAGCGCGGAUAUAUGCGUGUCCAGAAUUGAAGGCAUUAAACGCCUCUUCGGAAAAAAUACCACCGGGGAGUACGGCCCGUCGGCGCCGAUGAUUCAUGGCGCUCUCCACUUCAGAAUUUGUGGCGGAAAGCAUAUCCGUAUCCUCCGCAGGAGGACAGUUCUGCACUGUCCCCAGAUCAGCCUCCGUCCGUGAAUCCGGUCCGGGAAUCCGGCUGCUGGAGGCGUGGCUGGUAGGGUCCCCGGACAUAGUCCGGCGUUUCCUAUCAGGACAUAAUUAAAGCCGUCACGCCUCGACAAAAAGACCAAAUAAACCACGGGGCAAGUUUAAUGAAAUACCUCUGCGCUUGCGUCUCGGUCCUAACCGCCUUCCUUUUAAGCCUACCUUGCCUAGGCGCCUCUUGCUGAGAGGCCCCUGCGGGUUCCGCGCGGCGUCCUGAUGGCCGUUUCUAUAAAAAUACGACGUGAGAGCAUAAGGUACGGCAUAACGAAGGAAUCCUUUCGGAAAGUUGGGACCCCGACAUUACUUACAUGCGACACGGGAAGCAGUCUAGGAUAAUCCACGAUGAUGGCCACUAAAGAUCCAUCACUGCUUGCCUGGUAGAAAGUCCCGUUGGCAAAGUCCACGGAUAUGUCCGGAUCUUCUUCAAGUCCGGGAUCGAGAGCCCGACCGGGAUCCUUUGGCCACGGAGAGGGGUUGUUGAACUCUUUCACAGCCUUCCUUAGUUCCUGUUUUGAAACGGUAAGGUAAAUAACUGUGACAAGGAAGAUAAGAAUGGACAGAGUCGAGUAAAAGAUGGCAACUCACCCAACUUCGGGGGUUAUAGAUGGAAAAUCCAUCCCGCGAUUUAAUGCGGAGGAACUCCUCUUCUUCUCCUUUGUACAAAUCGGACAGUAUCCUCGCCAAAGUUGUGGCGGAGUCCGGACCUUUGCGACCACAGCAGGAGGCAUCGUCUUCUCCAUUGAAGUGCCACAUGGGUUUUCCCCUAUAUUGAACUGGCUGCACUCCCCUUAUUACGCAUAUUAACAUAACUUCGAUUAUUGUCAAUCCUGAUUUGGCCAGGGUUUUUAUCCGGCUCAUCAGAUAGAGGACUUCUCUGUUAUCUUUCUCCUGGGGGCUCCCAGGGCGCCAGCUUUGGCGUUUUGUCAGCGGAGUGUUGGUAAACUCAGGAAGGCCCGUCCAGACUGGGUCCGGAAGGGGAACAUCAUCAAAAUAAAAACACUUUGAGGGCCAGUUUUUGGGCGCCUUCUUUGGAGUGCCGGGCAGGUAUCCGGUCUGGGCGAUGCGCCAUAUUUCGGCUCCUCCCACUUGAUAUAUAGAUCCCUCCUGGUUGCGGGGGACGAGGCAGAAUAGCCUCUUCCAUAACUUGAAAUGAGCUUCGCAGCCCAGGAACAGCUCGCAGAGGGCAACAUAACCCGCGAUGUGCAGUGUGGAGGCGGGGGUAAGAUUAUGCAACUGGAGACAGUAGAACUCCAGGACCCCGCAGAGGAAUGGGUGGAUUGGAAACCCGACGCCUCUUAGUAGAUAUGGGACAAGGCAUACCCGCUCCCUCCGAGAGGGGCUGGGGAAUCUCUCCGCUUGCUCCCCGCCAUUAUAGGUGGCUAGUCCAGAUCGGACGGGGACCAUGUAUGCGGGCGGGAGGAACCCUUUGGUCUGCAGCUCUAUUAGGCGGCUGUGAGGGAUGGAACACUUUUCCCAAUCCCCUGGUUUCGAGCUAGGGGAGCGACGAGCAGGGCUGCGGCGAUCGGUCAUGAUAGGAUGGCCUCUUUUGUACGCGCUCUGCGGAAUGCUUGCUUGGGAGAAGGUGGUGUGCUUUGGAUCUGAGGAUUCCCGUCUCUUCAAAUAGAUGGUUAGUUUGCAGGGUCAGGGUGUCAAAUGUAAAAAUGCCCUGCCCACUCGUCUUCGCUCGGCACGUGGAGAUGGUCAUUAUUGAAGCACAGAAGCCGAGAAGUACAACAUUAUUGGGAGGCCGAACAUUGUUCGCUACGGUGGGUACCGUGGAUUUGGAGAAGAACCCGCCUUGCAAUGCCAAAGACAAUCUGCGUGCUGGAUCAUCGUCAUUGAAGCCUGGUUCGGGGGCUACUGAGGGAGUCCUAGAUAAGGGGGUAUCCGGACAGCCGGACUAUAUACUUUGGCCGGACUGUUGGACGGUGAAGAUACAAGAUUGAAGACUUCAUCCCGUGUCUGGAUGGGACUCUCCUUGGCGUGGAAGGCAAGCUUGGCGAUUCGGAUGUAGAUCUCCUUCUCUAUAAACCGACCCUGUGUAACCCUAGCCCCCUCCGGUGUCUAUAUAAACCGGAGGGUUUAGUCCGUAGGACACAACAACAAUCAUACCAUAGGCUAGCUUCUAGGGUUUAGCCUCUCUGAUCUCGUGGUAGAUCGACUCUUGUAAUACUCAUAUCAUAAAGAUCAAUCAAGCAGGAAGUAGGGUAUUACCUCCAUCAAGAGGGCCCGAACCUGGGUAAACAUCGUGUCCCCAGCCUCCUGUUACCAUUAGCCUUAGACGCACAGUUCGGGACCCCCUACCCGAGAUCCGCCGGUUUUGACACCGACAGCCACCUCGGUCGUGUGCCCGUCCGCGAAGGAGGAGGAAGGGGAUUCUGUUUUCCGCCAAGGCGCCCUGGGCAUGCUCCUCGGGCCCUUCAUCACCUCUCUCCUGAAGAAGCAGAACAACAUGACACAGGUCCUCUCCUCCCUUGUCAGCUUUCAUUUUGUUUGAGAUUAUUUUGUUCAGCAACUCCGUGGUUUCAUUCCGUUGCACUCAGCACGAUUCUGGUCUUAUUAAUGUUGGGGGCGAGCAGAUGCUGCAGGGCAUGGUGAUUCCAGUUCUUUCAUUCAGUCAUGUUCUUUCAUUCAGUCAAAUUCAGUCAAGUUCUACUAAUACCGCCGCAGGGUAAGACAAUGUGUGUCCCUUUGAAAUUGUCACUUGAAUUUUUUAUAGUUCGGAUAUAUGUUCCAGUUCUUUCAUUCAGUCAAGUUGUACCUGAAUGUGCCUGAAUGUGCUGAUAAUUCUUUCUCAAAUUAGCCUGAAUGUGCUGCGUUGAGCUCUGAUGAUAGUGUAUUCUUCCAAAUUAUGCAUGAAUCUGUAGCACACCAUGACACUACUAUUACUGGAUCAUAUCCAUUUUUAUUUUCUCAUUUAGAUCAUCCCCAUUUUUAUUUUCACUUUUCAGUUUUACAUGUAGAUUUUGACCCCAAAAAACACAUGGUAUUUUUAACACUUUUCAGUUUGCAUUAUCCUGGAUAUAGAACAUGGAUCUCGGAAUAAUUUAAAUAUUCUGAAUAAUUCAAUAAUUCACAGAGGCAUAACAAUUGAAAUGUAGCUUCAAAUGUCAAAAAUUAGUGUCCCGGAUAAUUACUCCUGGAUACAGAACAUGGAUCAGUUUUCAGUUUGCAUAACACUUUUCAGUUUGCAUUAUCCUUCUGUGAAUAAUUCAAAUGUCCUGGAUACAGAACAUGGAUAACACUGUAUAUUUAGUGUAGAAUCUUUUUAGUAGUUUUAAUUUUGGCCACUAUUUCUGUUGUUUAAUAACUUCUCUGAAUUUUGGCCACUACUACAGUAACUUCAAGUGAGUAACUACAAUAACAUCAAGUGAGUAACUCCAAUUUCUGAAUUUUUUUACAUUACACUAACCAUGAUAUUUGUUCCUCUGUUCUGGUCAUAAUUAUAAUCUGAUUGUUGAACCCUUAAUCAUUCUGAUAAUGUUUACAUGAUGCACAAUUAUACUGCUGUCAAAACUACUCCAUACACACUAUCAAAACUGACAAGAUGGUGGUGGUGGUGGAGUAACAUCUUUUACAUCUCUGUUUUGGUCAAAACUGAAUGUUGAUUCCUUGCAUCAUCUACUCUGAAUGAUUUAAUACUGAUAACUUCAGCAUCUAUAGACUUUGUGUUGUGGCAGCAGCUAAAACCCCUACAUCUUGCCUCUCUGUUUUUAAAGCUGCUAUUUCAAUUGUUACUGAACCUUGUUAAGUUUUUAACAAAAUAAUUACUAGUGCAUCUAGGAAUCAUUUAAGUUCUGCUGCUAUAUGAAGUGGUGCAGCUAUAUGAUCAUGCUAGAAUAUGCAUUUACAUAGACUGACUAAUGGCUCAAUAUAUUCUUAACUUUGUUACUGUAUUUAUCUAGAGAUGGGAGAAUAUCACCAUGUCCUGACUUAGUUACUCUUGCACUCACCUAUGCUGCUGUUGCACUAAUUUCAGUUCCCUCUCUCAGUUGUUCUAUUGCAUGACCAUGUAUAGAUAGAAUUUGUUCCCUCUGGUCCAAAUAGGUGAGCGAGCCAUCCAUCGAAUUGCCCGCAAAAAUUUGCAUACUCCAUGUGUGUUCACUAAAUUUUUAGUGCACUCAUGGAAGCAUGCAUUUUCCAAUCAAUUAAUAGUGAUAACUGAUUCCUUUGGUCUGUCCUUCAAAAUUAUCAGAUGCACUAUUUAGAAUCCAGUUUUGUGAUCUGGGGAACUAUAAUUAUUCUGAUUAUCAACUUGACUGAAUAUCAACUUGCUAGAUCAAAAGCUGAUAGAAAUUGAUAGGUUUUGAGCAUCAAGAGAUCUGAAUGGAGUUAACUCGUAUUGAGAAGUUAACUGAAUUUUUUUGUAUCAACAUUGCACCAUUUCAGCAUGACAACUCAACUCAACUAACCUCAACUCAAUUCAGCAAUUAUCUUGCAGGUUCAGGAAUUAUCUUUGCAGAUUCUCCAGACACAACAAUAAUCUUCAGACUCACACCACUAGUUGAAUUGCAGCAGUAGUAGAGGUGGGCGGGGCAGACUCACUAGCACCAGUACCAGCAGAGUCAGGGCAAGGGAAAGGGAAGAAGCAUCAUCAGAGGUCCACGUCGGCGUCUCCUACCAACAGUAGUAACAUCAGUGGCGGGAGUGGCCGGAAUUGUCCGUGCCGGUGGUGGCCAAAGCAGAAGAAGUCAGAGGCAUAGGUUUGUGGUUGUGGGCGGCGAAGGUGGUUGCGCAGGAAGGCGACCGUGGCCAGCAUAGGUGGGCUACAGCAUGUGGCAAGAUUCAACGGGGCUGGUGGCGCAGCUCGAGGCGGGCGUCAGCACAGGUUGCCUUCACGGCGGGCACCGCAGGUGGGAAGCCUUGGCGCAUGUUGGGGAUAUAACUAUUUGUGUAAGCCUCCCAGGAGGGGUCGGGUUAUUCAAAGAGGAUUCCCCAGAGAGAAGCCCAAGACCAAGGCAUGAAGAUGGCGGUUCAUAGAUAGCUUAAGGCCCAGGGGCGACUUAAGGCUCGUUGUCGUAAACCGUUGUAAUAAUAUUACUUGUAUCAUAAGGUAGACUUAACUAGUCACCGAUCCGGACAUUGUUUAUAAGCCGGCCGGGACUCUGUAAGCCGCAGGGCGUCGACCCGUGUAUAUAAGGGGACGACCCGCUGGCGGCUUAGGGCAAGAAACAACUCAUCGAGAGCCAGGCAUAGCGUAUCUUGCUCCCUGUUCAUCGAAACAUCAAUACCAACCCAACUAGACAUAGGCCUUACCUUCACCGUAAGGGGCCGAACUAGUAUAAAA